GAACAGACCAGCAUCCUUGUUUGUGUCUGCUGACGUGAUCCCAGCAAGUCCCUGCUCAGACAGAGUGGACGUCCGGCUGCAGGGCUUCCAGAAAACCUACAACCACCAACAGCAAGUGUUCUCGCAGCAACAAGGCUGCCUGUAUGGAGAGGGAAAGAUGGCUCAAGCACCCAGCGAUGGAGGUUUUGAGCCUGCAAGUUACUUCACCAACCAGCCCACCUCCCACUCUACAGGGUUUGACUUGCUGCAGGACCUGCAGGGUCAGGCGGGGGGCGGUUACUCCUUGCCUCCCUGCCCAGACGACAGCUUCCUCUUCCAGGCAGGUGGCGUCGACCGCUGCCUCAGUCAGAUUUACUCCGUCUAUCUGGACUCGUGAUGGCCACCCAGAAAGACGCUAUGCAGCAUGA
RNAcentral lists this long non-coding RNA (407 nucleotides) under Oreochromis niloticus (Nile tilapia). RNAcentral describes it as "lncRNA (ENSONIG00000033362.1)". The record is from RNAcentral. Lineage: Eukaryota; Metazoa; Chordata; Actinopteri; Cichliformes; Cichlidae.